UCACAGGUGGUUAAGGGAGAGUCAGGACAGAAAAGGCUGAACUUUAUGGAUAAUUAAAGGGGGGUCCUUUUGGGGAUUGGGAUUUUGCAAUGCCAGUGAUAACUAGCUGCUACUGGCACCCAUGGGGUAGAAGUAAUUACAUACAAGUUGUUAAUUUUGGGAAGACAAGGGUGGAGAUAAGGAUGGAUCAAGAUGGAUCAACAAGGAACAACACCAGCAAAAUGGAGAACAAUUGGGGAAUACGAGAGACCCAACACACGUAAGCAAGCUGGAGUUAACAGCUCUAUAUCUCUGUGCUAAAGGAAGGAAAUCCAGUAGAAUCAGCGAUUUCAACAGGACCUCAUCAACAUUCAUCACACCAGCAUUAUAUCCAUCUUUAAAUUCAAAAUCUGUGACCUGCACAAUGACUAUAUUCAACAUUUUUUUCUGCAUUUGAAUUCAUACCUUCAUCAGUAGAAAAAAUUGAUUACUGCAACUUUGCUGAGCCACUGCCCACCCACCUCAACAACAUCUGAAGCAACUGCUGGACUGCUUCACAUGCUUAGAAAGACAGAAUAAUAACCUACCAGGACUAAAUAAAUAUUUCUUCUGGCAAUAAUCCAGGUAUAUGAGCUAUUCCUCAAUAAGAUCCCAGACUGCAAUUUACAAGCUCCAGCUUACAACACAGCCUUUCCAAAGCAAACUGAAAUCAGCAAUAUCUUGGCUGGAAAAUGAGGUUGUAACAUUAUAAGCAAUCCUCACUCAUUUAUUAAAACUUUGUAUUUUUACCCUGUGUGCUGGUUUUGGUUGGAAUAGAGUUAAUUUUCUUCAUAGUAGCUGGUAUGGGUCUAUGUUUUGGGUUUGUGCUGAAAACAAUCCUGAUGACACAGGGAUGGUGUCAUUACUGCUGAGCAGUGCUUACACAGAGUCACGGCCUUUUCUGCUCCAGCAAAUGGGCUGGGGGUGCACAAGAGGUUGGGAGGGGACAUGGCUGCAACAGCUGACCCCAGCGGUCCAAAGGGAGCUUCCAUACCAUAUGAUGUCAAAGCUGCGGAAAGAAGGAGGAAGUGGGGGGACAUGUUUGGAGUCAUGGCAUUUGUCUUCCCAAGUCACCACUACACGUGAUGAAGCCCUGCUUUCCUGGAGAUGGCUGAACACCUGCCUGCUGGUGGGAAGGAGUGAAUGAGUUCCUUCCUUUGCUUUCCUUGUGUACGCAGUUUUGCUUUGCUUAUUAAAUGGUAAAUAAUUUUUAUUUAUUUAUUUUUUACUUAUUAAAUUGUGUUAAAUUACUUAUUAAAUAUAC
This is a non-coding RNA of Phalacrocorax carbo (great cormorant), 1282 nucleotides long. The record is from RefSeq and is a predicted model, not a curated record. Lineage: Eukaryota; Metazoa; Chordata; Aves; Suliformes; Phalacrocoracidae.